UACGUAGGGUGCGAGCGUUAAUCGGAAUUACUGGGCGUAAAGCGUGCGCAGGCGGUUUGUUAAGACGGAUGUGAAAUCCCCGGGCUCAACCUGGGAACUGCAUUCGUGACUGGCAAGCUAGAGUAUGGCAGAGGGGGGUAGAAUUCCACGUGUAGCAGUGAAAUGCGUAGAGAUGUGGAGGAAUACCGAUGGCGAAGGCAGCCCCCUGGGCCAAUACUGACGCUCAUGCACGAAAGCGUGGGGAGCAAACAGG
This 253-nucleotide ribosomal RNA is filed under the name uncultured prokaryote. Its description in RNAcentral is "partial 16S ribosomal RNA". It matches the Rfam family "Bacterial small subunit ribosomal RNA", at positions 524 to 776 of the family's 1533-position model. The record is from RNAcentral.